UCCUAUUUGGUUAUCUAGCUGUAUGAGUGUUUUAUUCUUCAUAAAGCUAGAUAACCGAAAGUAAAA
This 66-nucleotide microRNA precursor is filed under the name Zonotrichia leucophrys (white-crowned sparrow). RNAcentral describes it as "microRNA 9". The stretch from base 6 to 59 matches the Rfam family "mir-9/mir-79 microRNA precursor family", at positions 12 to 67 of the family's 78-position model. From Rfam's summary of the family: The mature ~21nt miRNAs are processed from hairpin precursor sequences represented here. miR-9 is processed from the 5' arm of its precursor, and miR-79 from the 3' arm. The record is from RNAcentral. Lineage: Eukaryota; Metazoa; Chordata; Aves; Passeriformes; Passerellidae.